GAGUUUCAGCAUCACCUCCCUGUUGUUCUCCGGGUACACAACCUCCCCGUCGAGACGUGUAUUUGGAGAACAGCGGGGAGGUGCUGCCGAAAUUUCGUCUCAGAUC
This 106-nucleotide microRNA precursor is filed under the name Sorghum bicolor (sorghum). RNAcentral's name for it is "miR5566 stem-loop (sbi-MIR5566)". The record is from miRBase by way of RNAcentral. Lineage: Eukaryota; Viridiplantae; Streptophyta; Magnoliopsida; Poales; Poaceae.